Molecule: RNA transcript, 5336 nt
Organism: Balaenoptera acutorostrata (minke whale)
Lineage: Eukaryota; Metazoa; Chordata; Mammalia; Artiodactyla; Balaenopteridae
Gene: TARBP1
Gene name: TAR (HIV-1) RNA binding protein 1
Exons: 27
Source: RefSeq, a predicted model, not a curated record
GUGCACGCGCACGCACUAGCGCACGCCGGCGCCUUCCCGUGGGCGCUCGGGGUCGGCGGCGGGCGGGGCAAAUGGAGUGGGUGCUGGCGGAUGCACUGCUGUCGCAGAGCCGGGACCCCCGGGUCCUGCUUGGGGCGCUGUGUUGCGAGGAGGCGUCCGCGGAGCGCGUGGAGACGCUGCGCUUUCUUCUGCAGCGACUGGAGGACGAGGAGGCGCGCGGCGGCGGCGGCGCGGGCGCGCUCCCGGAGGCGGCGCGCGAGGUCGCCGCCGGGUACCUGGUGCCGCUGCUGCGGGGCCUGCGGGGGCGCCCCGCGGGCGGCGCGGACACCGGCCCAGCGGCCCGCCAGCGCCGGCGCGUGAUGAGAGCGGCGGGCGCGGCCCUGCACUCGUGCGCCCGCCUCGCCGGGGGCCCGCAUUUGGCGGCCGCGCUGGCCGAGGAGGCGCUGCGCGACCUGCUCGCCGCGGGCUCCGCGCCCGGCCUCGAGGGGGCCGUCGAGGCGGCCGUGGAGGUGCUGGCGGCCGUGGGGCCCUGCCUGCGGCCCCGCGAGGACGCGCCGCUGCUGGAGCGGGUGGCGCGGGCCGCCCUCGCCCUGGCGCUAGGCGGGGACGAGGCGGGGCCCGCCGAGGGUGCGGCGGCGCUGGUGGCCGGGCGGCUGCUGCCGGCGCUGGGCCGGUGCGGCGGGGCGGCGCUGCGGGCCGUGUGGGGCGGGCUGGUCGCCCCCGGGGCGCCGGAGGGGCCGGGCCGCGUCGAGCCGAAGCUGCUGGUGCUGAGCGCCCUGGCGGAGAAGCUGCUGCCCGAGCCCGGCGCGGAGCGCGCCACGGUGGCGCGCGACGCGGGCCCGGACGCCCGGCGCUGUUGGCGCUUCUGGAGGACGGUGCAGGCGGGGCUGACCCGGGCCGAGGACGCCCUGACGCGCAAGCGGGCGCGCUACCUGUUGCAGCGCGCGGUGGAGGUAUCGGCGGAGUUGGGGGCCGACUGCGCGUGCGCCCCCCAGGAAGGAACCGGCCCAAGUCUGUUUUGGUGGUCUGAGAAGAAAAAAGAUGAGCUUCUAAAGUUUUGGGAAAACUAUAUUUUAAUUAUGGAAACUCUUGAAGGAAAUCAGAUACAUGUUAUAAAGCCAGUUUUACCAAAGCUAAACAAUCUGUUUGAAUAUGCAGUGUCAGAGGAAAAUGGAUGUUGGCUCUUUCACCCAUCCUGGCAUCUGUGCAUUUAUAAAAGAAUGUUUGAAAGUGAAAAUAAAAUCCUGACCAAAGAAGGCGUUACCCAUUUUUUGGAGCUCUAUGAAACAAGGGUCCUUCCAUUUUCAGCAGAAUUUUCUGAGUUUAUUAUUGGGCCAUUAAUGGAUGCACUUUCAGAGAGCUCUCUAUACAGCAGGUCCCCAGGCCAGCUGAUAGGAAGUGGUUCUCCAUUGGGAUUGAAAUUACAGAAGUUCUUAGUCACUUACAUUUCUCUUCUUCCAGAAGAAAUAAAGAGUAGUUUCCUGUUAAAGUUUAUUCAGAAGAUGACAAGCCGACAUUGGUGUGCUAUUCCCAUUCUGUUUCUAUGUAAGGCUUUGGCAAAUAUCCCAAGAUGUAAAGCCCUGGGUAUAGAAGGGCUUCUUGCCCUGAGGGACGUUCUUCAGUGCACCAUGAUCACACAUCAGAUCCUGCUGCGAGGGGCAGCGCAGUGCUACCUCCUUCAGGCGGCCAUGAAUCUGGUAGACGUGGAGAAAGUGUCCCUCUCUGAUGUCUCAUCUCUUGUCAUGUCAGUGAGACAAGAGGAGUCCUUCGGACGAGGAACUUCAUUGUGGACAGAGCUCUGUGAUUGGCUGCGUGUUAAUGAAAGCUGUUUUAGGCGACCCUCAACUUGUAGCUCCAUUGGACUUCACGAGACAUCCUCUUUAAAUGCUUAUGUAAAGAACCUAGUCCAAGAGUAUAUUAAGUCACCUGCCUGGGAAGGAGGAGAAAACUGCUGUAUGCCUGAUUGGCUUGAAGCCAAGCUUGUUGCUAUGAUGGUCUUGCUGGCCAUAGAUGUGGAAGGAAUGAAGAGUCAAUAUAGUGAAAAGCGGAGGACACAGAAUGUAUUAAGGAUAUUCUUAGAUCCUCUCCUGGAUGCCCUUGUGAAGUUUGGUACAAAUGCCUACAUGCCCUUGCUGAAAACUGACAGAUGCCUGCAGUUGCUGUUGAAGUUACUGCACACUUGCUUGUUGAAAGGUUCCAGUACCCAAGAUGUUGCGCCUACAGAUGAGGUGUGUACUCUUCUUCAGAACUUUGUCUUGUCUACCACAGAGAGCAUUUCGGAAUUUAUUCUCAGAAGACUUACUAUGAAGGAACUAAGUAGUGUUUCAGAUCUGGAUCGUUGCCAUUUGUACCUGAUGGUAUUAACUGAACUUAUAAAUCUCCACUUGAAGGUUGGGUGGAAAAGAGGCAACCCUAUUUGGAGAGUUAUUUCUCCUUUGAAAAACGCAUCCAUUCGGCAUCUUCAAGAGAUGGACCGUGGACAGGAACCGACGCUGGGUAGACAGAUUCAGAGAGUUGUUAGCAUGGCUGCCUUGGCCACGGUGUGUGAGGCCACUGACCAGAAGCCAGAGCUACAGCUGGACUCGCGGGACGCGGGAACCACGGAAAGGUUCCUCUCCUCCCUGCAGCUCAAUCAGACGCUGCAGAAGCCCCACACGGAGGAGGACGGCAGUUUUUUUGAAGAGUCAUCAUCUUCCCAAGGAUGGGGGAAAAUAGUUGCACAAUAUAUUCAUGAUCAGUGGGUCUGCCUCUCUUUCUUGUUGAAAAAAUAUCACACCCUUAUACCAGCCUCAGAGGAUGAAAUUCUGGAACCCAUUCUACCUGCUGUUCAAAUGCCAGUAAGGACUUUGCAGUCCGCACUAGAAGCCCUCACAAUUCUUCCUUCUGAUCAAGUUUUACCUGUGUUCCACUGCAUGAAAAUUUUGGUCCCCAAGCUUCUGACCUCCUCUGAAUCUCUCUGCAUAGUGUCUUUUGACAUGGCUUGGAAAAUCAUAGCUUCUUUAAGCAACACUCAGCUGAUAUUCUGGUCUAAUUUAAAAGCUUUUGUUCAGUUUGUUUUUGAUCCCAAAGUUCUUACCAUUGCUGCAAAAAUCAAGGGCCAGGCAUAUUUCAAAAUCAAAGAGAUUAUGUACAGGAUAAUUGAAAUGUCUACUAUAAAAACUGGAGUCUUCAAUAUAUUGAUAAGUCAUUGCUGCAAAUCUUGGAUAGUUUCUGCUUCAAAUGUGCCUUUAUCUACUGCUAAAAAUUACAGCGAACUUGUCUAUGAGGCGUGUAUAUUUGGAACAGUGUUUCGGCGUGAUCAAAGACUUAUUCAGGAUGUACAGACCUUCAUAGAAAAUCUUGGGCAUGAGUGUGCAGCGAACAUGGUUAUUGAAAAUACUAAAAGAGAGGACCAUUAUGUGAGAAUUUGUGCUGUCAAAUUCCUGUGUUUAUUAGAUGGCUCAAAUAUGUCUCAUAAGUUGUUUAUGGAAGAUCUUGCAAUCAAGCUAUUAGAAAAAGAUGAAUUGGUGUCCAAGUCAAGAACUCGAUACUAUGUGAAUUCACAACAACAUAGAGUGAAAAACCGAAUAUGGCAGACUCUGCUUGUACUUCUCCCCAGAUUCGAUCAGAAUUUCUUGAAUAGAAUUAUUGACAGGAUUUUCCAGGCUGGUUUCAUCAGUAAUCAAGCAUCCAUAAAAUAUUUUAUAGAAUGGAUUAUUAUAUUGAUUCUUCAUAAAUUCCCUCAAUUUCUUCCGAAGUUCUGGGACUGUUUUUCUUACGGUGAAGAAAACCUUAAAACAAGCAUUUGUACAUUUUUAUCAGCUUUGUCGCAUUUGGACAUCAUUACUGAAAAUAUUCCAGAAAAGAAACUAAUUCUGAAGCAAGCCCUUAUUAUCGUACUGCACUGGUGUUUUAAUCACAAUUUUAGCAUUCGACUGUAUGCCUUAGUCACUCUUAAGAAAAUCUGGAGCAUGUGUAAGACGUUGCACCUUGAAGAACUUGAUGCUUUGACUUGCAUUAUUGAAUCCUGUCUGAAUCAAGUGGAAAACACGCGUGGAGCAGGGAACGCGAAGAAGAAUUGGCAACGGAUCCAGGAGCAUUUCUUUUUUGCAACGUUCCACCCACUGAAGGAUUACUGUCUGGAGGCAGUGUCUGGCUUGUAAACACUGGAAGGGGGAAUAUUUAACUCUGAACAGAAAUCUGUUCUGACAUUAAAAGGAAAUGAGUGAGAACAUUUGUGCAGGUGAGAUUUGUCGUAACGAAGCCCAUUGGUAUGAAAGAGUGAAAAGAACUACUCUUUUAAGUGCCUAUUUUAGGUUCUGGAUGACUGGAAUUGUAUAGCAAAUGAUCACCAUCUCACUGAUCAUAACAGAAUGUGCUUAUAUAAUUUCUUUAAACUUAUUCCAGUUAGCAUGUGAAUUAAUUAACUUAAUAUAUAGAUUAUUAAAAUUUGUACAUAUGAUAUUACUUUCUCCCUUUUUCGACUACAAUUAUAGUGUUCUGCCUUGGAAUUUAAAACAUGUGAUGUAGGAACCUGGAAGUAUCAGAAACUUCAGCUACCGUGCAUAAGCAGUUUUUUUUUGUUGGGUUGUGUUUGUGUGUGGGGAUUACUAAUAAGCUGGCCUUUAAAAAAAAAUACAGAUCUAUAUAUUGUGAGAUAGUCAUCAUAGAACAUUAUUGUGUACUUUGUUGCUUCAUUGCAAAAAUUAUUUAGGAUUUUUCAAACAUUUUAACGUGCUCUGUUCUGUGUCCUUUAGCGCCCAGAAUGCUUUGUUUGACAUCUUUCUGAGGACUCUUAAUAACUCUCUAGUGCUAAGUCAGCCUUUUCUAUUCAGUUCUCCAGCAGGAGUAAGUCCCUUGCUUCCCCUUUUCCUUCAUCCUGACUUUGACUGCCUCACCCUCAUAUGUUUUAUAUAUUUUAUUCUCUAUUAAUUAUACAAACCAUAACUGUACAUAUCAAUAAAAUAAUGGUGCACAAGACUCUGUUUCUCUAUACGUUUGGAGCUAUACUUGGUACCUACUUAAUAAACAGCUUGCAUUCAUUAUGCCAGUUUCAAUUUGCACAAAUAUUGCUAAUAAAGAGAAAACCAUAUUCAUUCUAAAAACUUUUAUGAAGACUUGGACAUUGUUAUAAGUUUAUUCCUUUAUUUUAAAAUUGCCUACUGUGCUUCUGCUUCCUAUGUGCCUUUUCACAUUUGAGGAUUAUCUGGAUCUCAGUUUUCUUGUCAUAGACCAUAUUUUACAUCCUUCCACGCCUUUCCGGCCUUGUUGAGGACGAAUGGAUUGCCAUUGGUAAAUUUACCAGGUUCACUGACAUUCCUUUAGAUGCAGGAUUUCAGUGGUACCUUUCUCCAACU